UGGGGAAUAUUGCGCAAUGGGGGAAACCCUGACGCAGCAACGCCGCGUGAAGGAUGAAGGGUUUCGGAUCGUAAACUUCUUUGAUGAGGGACGAAACAAAUGACGGUACCUCAAAAACAAGCCACGGCUAACUACGUGCCAGCAGCCGCGGUAAUACGUAGGGGGCGAGCGUUGUCCGGAAUGACUGGGCGUAAAGGGCGCGUAGACGGCUGUCUAAGUCUGGAGUGAAAGUCCUGCUUUCAAGGUGGGAAUUGCUUUGGAGACUGGAUGGCUUGAGUGCGGAAGAGGUAAGUGGAAUUCCCAGUGUAGCGGUGAAAUGCGUAGAGAUUGGGAGGAACACCAGUGGCGAAGGCGACUUACUGGGCCGUAACUGACGUUGAUGCGCGAAAGCGUGGGGAGCGAACAGG
This 407-nucleotide ribosomal RNA is filed under the name uncultured prokaryote. RNAcentral describes it as "bacterial SSU rRNA". It matches the Rfam family "Bacterial small subunit ribosomal RNA", at positions 355 to 776 of the family's 1533-position model. The record is from RNAcentral.